GACGAACGCUGGCGGCGUGCUUAACACAUGCAAGUCGAGCGGUAAGGCCCUUUCGGGGUACGACGAGCGGCGAACGGGUGAGUAACACGUGGGUGACCUCGCCCUCAGCUCUGGGAGUAAGCCCGGGAAACCGUGGGUCUAAUACUGGAUAUGACUCCAUGACGCAUGUUGUGGGGUGGAAAGCCUUGUGCGGCUGAGGAUGGGCCCGCGGCCUAUCAGCUUGUUGGUGGGGG
This 233-nucleotide ribosomal RNA is filed under the name uncultured bacterium. RNAcentral describes it as "partial 16S ribosomal RNA". It matches the Rfam family "Bacterial small subunit ribosomal RNA", at positions 28 to 258 of the family's 1533-position model. The record is from RNAcentral.